CCUACGGGAGGCCGCAGUGAGGAAUAUUGGUCAAUGGCCGGAAGGCUGAACCAGCCAAGCAGCGUGAGGGACGACUGUCCCAUGCGUUGUAAACUUCUUUUAUCCGGGGACAAAGUCAUGUUCGAGAGCCUGUCCGCAGGUACUUCAAGAAUAAGCAUCGGCUAACUCCGUGCCAGCAGCCGCGGUAAUACGGAGGAUGCGGACGUUAUCCGGAUUUAUUGGGUUUAAGGGGUGCGUAGGCGGGCUGUUAAGUCUGCGGGAAAAUUCCUGGGCCCAACCCCGGCGAGCGGCGGAAACUGGGGGUCUUGAGAGGUCGAGAGGCAGGCGGAAUGCGUAGUGUAGCGGUGAAAUGCUUAGAUAUCGCGAAGAACCCCGAUUGCGAAGGCAGCAUACCGGCGCCUAACUGACGCUGAGGCACGAAAGCGCGGGUAUCGAACAGGAUUAGAUACCCUUGUAGUC
Molecule: ribosomal RNA, 459 nt
Filed under: uncultured bacterium
Lineage: Bacteria
Description: partial 16S ribosomal RNA
Rfam family: Bacterial small subunit ribosomal RNA
Source: RNAcentral